This 465-nucleotide long non-coding RNA is filed under the name Ictidomys tridecemlineatus (thirteen-lined ground squirrel). Its description in RNAcentral is "lncRNA (ENSSTOG00000034631.1)". The record is from RNAcentral. Lineage: Eukaryota; Metazoa; Chordata; Mammalia; Rodentia; Sciuridae.
UGGCUUCCCCUGGAUUCUCUGCUCUAGCCACCUGGCCUGUGUCUUCCUACUUCCUCAGAUGCCUGCCUUCAUGCCCCUACUGGAGUCACCCAGGACCAGCAGGAACAGACAUAACCAAACCAUACAUUUAACAGUCACUGAGGGUUUGCUUGCACAGGAUGGGAGCAAGUGCUGGAAAUUCAGACGCAGCCAGUUCACUGUGGUCAAAGUCUGUCGGUGAGCCUCCUGGGGCAAACAGAUGUGCGGGACCACAGUUAUUCCAACAAACUGUUCUACAUCUGCCUCCCUCAAGAUGCCCUGAAGCACCAUUGAAAAAGGACCAACCGACCAGGAGGAAGAUCAGCGGACGGCUUGAUUCAGUUCUAAAGGACAGGAAUAACAGUGCUUCUCUCUUCCCCUGUGAACGUAUUUCAAUGUCUGAUUGACGAUAACAAUGUGUGCAUUUUUUCUUAGAUGGCAGGGAGA